RNAcentral lists this non-coding RNA (25 nucleotides) under Gallus gallus (chicken). Lineage: Eukaryota; Metazoa; Chordata; Aves; Galliformes; Phasianidae. RNAcentral also lists the same sequence under 5 other names. The record is from RNAcentral.
CUAGUGGUUAGGAUUCGGCGCUCUC